This 253-nucleotide ribosomal RNA is filed under the name uncultured bacterium. Its description in RNAcentral is "partial 16S ribosomal RNA". It matches the Rfam family "Bacterial small subunit ribosomal RNA", at positions 524 to 776 of the family's 1533-position model. The record is from RNAcentral.
UACGAAGGGUGCAACCGUUGCUCGGAAUUAUUGGGCGUAAAGCGCACGUAGGCGGCUUUGCAAGUCCGAUGUGAAAUCCCACGGCUCAACCAUGGAAGUGCAUCGGAAACUGCAGAGCUUGAGUACAAAAGAGGAUCGCGGAAUUCCCGGUGUAGAGGUGAAAUUCGUAGAUAUCGGGAGGAACACCAGUGGCGAAGGCGGCUUCCUGGACCGACACUGACGCUGAGGCGCGAAAGCUAGGGGAGCAAACGGG